This 328-nucleotide ribosomal RNA is filed under the name uncultured eukaryote. RNAcentral's name for it is "partial 18S ribosomal RNA". It matches the Rfam family "Eukaryotic small subunit ribosomal RNA", at positions 1470 to 1796 of the family's 1831-position model. The record is from RNAcentral.
CCCUUAGAUGUUCUGGGCCGCACGCGCGCUACACUGAUGCAUUCAACGAGUUUCUUCCUGGUCCGAGAGGAAUGGGUAACCUUUUGAAAGUGCAUCGUGAUAGGGAUAGACUAUUGCAAUUAUUGGUCUUCAACGAGGAAUUCCUAGUAGACGUAGUUCAUCAGACUGCAUCGAUUACGUCCCUGCCCUUUGUACACACCGCCCGUCGCGCCUACCGAUUGAAUGGUCCGGUGAAAUCUUCGGAUUGAGACUUUGAUUUCUUCACGGAAAACGCUGUUUUAAAAAGUUGAUUAAAUCUUACCAUUUAGAGGAAGGUGAAGUCGUAACA